This 940-nucleotide long non-coding RNA is filed under the name Marmota monax (woodchuck). Lineage: Eukaryota; Metazoa; Chordata; Mammalia; Rodentia; Sciuridae. The record is from RNAcentral.
GUGACUGUAGGCAGAUGGAGCACGACUAAAGGAAGUGGGUCACUGGGGACAUGACUUGGGAUUAUAUAUUUUGGCCCUGACUCAGCCUCCUGUCCCUCUCUGCUUCCUACCAGCUUUCUUCGCUAGGCCCCUCUGCCAUGAUGCUCUGACUCCCUCAGGCCCAGAAUGAUGGAGUCGCCUGACCACAAACUGAACCUCUGAAACCAUAAGCCAAAUUAACUUUUCCUCAUCUUUUUUUUUUGGGGGGGGGUGUACUAGGGAGUGAACUCAGGGGCACACGACCGCAGAGUCAUAUCCCCAGCCCUAUUUUGUAUUUUAUUUAGAAUCAGGGUCCCACUGAGUUGCUUAGCACCUCACUUUUGCUGAGGCUGGCUUUGACUCAUGAUCUCCCUACCUCAGCCUCCUGAGCCGCUGGGAUUACAGGUGUGUGCCACUGUGCCCGGCAAACCUUUCCUCUUCUAAGUUCUCCUUUUCAGGUAUUUUGGUGAUGAAAACCUAACAUAAUGUGUUUGGGCAGGUGUGUGUAUACAUGCAUUUAUCCAUGGAUGUGUGUAUACAGUUGGAUAUCAUGCAUUGCAUGUAUGUGCUUAUGGGUAUCUGUACAUUGUGUACACAUACAGGUGUGUGUGAAAUUCUGUGCAUAUGAAGAAACGCAAGUACAUUGCAGGGCAUAGAUGUACAUCUACUGUGUAUGUACGUGGGCGAGUGUGCAUACAGGUGUGUGUAAUGUAUAGGUGGUCGUGAACAUGGCACAAGUGGAUGAGGGUGUGUAUGUAUGGGUAUACAGUGGUGCUCCACUUACCAUGGGGUCACAUCCCAAUAAGCCCACUCUAAGUUAAAAAUAUCAUAAUACAAAAACACAGUGAAAGUUGGGCGUGAUGGCACACACCUCUAAUCCCAAUGGCUCAGGAGGUCGAGGUGGGAGGAUUGCCAGUUAGAG